This is a long non-coding RNA of Sinocyclocheilus anshuiensis, 103 nucleotides long. RefSeq lists it as uncharacterized. The record is from RefSeq and is a predicted model, not a curated record. NCBI's taxonomy places the organism in Eukaryota, Metazoa, Chordata, Actinopteri, Cypriniformes, Cyprinidae. The transcript is spliced from 3 exons.
GCACGUGCUAAUUGCGUUGCACUUUACAUUCAUUUAACAGAAAAGACAAGAAGGGCGAAAACACACUAUGAAAACUGUUUUGUGUUUUAUCAGGCAUGCUGUU